UGGGGAAUUUUGCGCAAUGGGCGAGAGCCUGACGCAGCAACGCCGCGUGGAGGAUGAAGGUCUUUGGAUUGUAAACUCCUGUCAGCGGGGAAAAAGGGAUUCGGGUUAAUACCCCGGAGACUUGAUUGUACCCGCAGAGGAAGCCCCGGCUAACUCUGUGCCAGCAGCCGCGGUAAUACAGAGGGGGCGAGCGUUAUUCGGAAUUAUUGGGCGUAAAGGGCGCGUAGGCGGCCUUUCAAGUGACGGGUGAAAUCCCUCGGCUUAACCGAGGAACUGCCUGUCAGACUGGAAGGCUUGAGACCGGGAGAGGUGAGUGGAAUUCCCAGUGUAGCGGUGAAAUGCGUAGAUAUUGGGAGGAACACCAGUGGCGAAGGCGGCUCACUGGACCGGUACUGACGCUGAGGCGCGAAAGCGUGGGGAGCAAACAGG
Molecule: ribosomal RNA, 429 nt
Filed under: uncultured bacterium
Lineage: Bacteria
Description: bacterial SSU rRNA
Rfam family: Bacterial small subunit ribosomal RNA
Source: RNAcentral